ACGAACGCUGGCGGCGUGCGUAAGCUUAUGCAUGUCGAACGCGAACGGCUCCUUCGGGAGCCUAGUAGAGUGGCAAACGGGUGAGUAACGCGUGGGUAACGUACCCUGAUCCUGGGAAUAACCCUCGGAAACGAGGGCUAAUACCGAAUGUGGCGAACGACCGGUUGGUCGCUCGCUAAAGGUGGCCUCUUCUAUGCUGCCGGGUUGGGAUCGGUCCGCGUCCCAUUAGCUAGUUGGUGAGGUAACGGCUCACCAAUGCCACGAUGGGUAGCCGGCCUGAGAGGGUGUACGGUCACACUGGCACUGAGACAAGGGCCAGUCCCCUAUGGGAGGCGCAUGCGGGAAUAGUUCACAAUGGGCGAAAGCCUGAUGACGCGACGCCGCGUGAGCGAAGAAGACCUUCGGGUUGUAAAGCUCUGUCAGGAGGGAAGAAGGCUCUACGGGUUAAUAGCCCGUGGAAUUGACGGUACCUCCAGAGGAAGCCCCGGCUAAAUACGUGCCAGCAGCCGCGGUAAUACGUAUGGGGCAAGCGUUGUCCGGAUUUACUGGGCGUAAAGGGCGCGUAGGCGGUUCUGUUAAGUCGAAGGUGAAAUCCUCGGGCUCAACUCGAGAAUUGCCUUCGAUACUGGCAAACUAGAGUGGCGGAGAGGAAAGCGGAACUCUUGGUGUACCGGUGGAAUGUGUGGAUAUCCAGAGGAACACCGGUGGCGAAGGCGGCUUUCUGGACGCACACUGACGCUCA
RNAcentral lists this ribosomal RNA (742 nucleotides) under uncultured organism. RNAcentral's name for it is "bacterial SSU rRNA". It matches the Rfam family "Bacterial small subunit ribosomal RNA", at positions 29 to 749 of the family's 1533-position model. The record is from RNAcentral.